Molecule: ribosomal RNA, 364 nt
Filed under: bacterium 83-L049641-122-013-C11
Lineage: Bacteria
Description: bacterial SSU rRNA
Rfam family: Bacterial small subunit ribosomal RNA
Source: RNAcentral
GCAGUCGAGCGAAACGGAUAGGAGCUUGCUCCUUUUGAGUUAGCGGCGGACGGGUGAGUAACACGUGGGUAACCUACCUAUAAGACUGGAAUAACUUCGGGAAACCGGAGCUAAUGCCGGAUAACAUUUGGAACCGCAUGGUUCUAAAGUAAAAGAUGGUUUUGCUAUCACUUAUAGAUGGACCCGCGCCGUAUUAGCUAGUUGGUAAGGUAACGGCUUACCAAGGCAACGAUACGUAGCCGACCUGAGAGGGUGAUCGGCCACACUGGAACUGAGACACGGUCCAGACUCCUACGGGAGGCAGCAGUAGGGAAUCUUCCGCAAUGGACGAAAGUCUGACGGAGCAACGCCGCGUGAGUGAUGA